Molecule: ribosomal RNA, 522 nt
Filed under: Fusarium lateritium
Lineage: Eukaryota; Fungi; Ascomycota; Sordariomycetes; Hypocreales; Nectriaceae
Description: eukaryotic LSU rRNA
Rfam family: 5.8S ribosomal RNA (bases 163-316)
Source: RNAcentral
AGGGAUCAUUACCGAGUUUACAACUCCCAAACCCCUGUGAACAUACCUUAAUGUUGCCUCGGCGGAUCAGCCCGCUCCCCGUAAAACGGGACGGCCCGCCAGAGGACCCAAACUCUAAUGUUUCUUAUUGUAACUUCUGAGUAAAACAAACAAAUAAAUCAAAACUUUCAACAACGGAUCUCUUGGUUCUGGCAUCGAUGAAGAACGCAGCAAAAUGCGAUAAGUAAUGUGAAUUGCAGAAUUCAGUGAAUCAUCGAAUCUUUGAACGCACAUUGCGCCCGCUGGUAUUCCGGCGGGCAUGCCUGUUCGAGCGUCAUUUCAACCCUCAAGCCCCCGGGUUUGGUGUUGGGGAUCGGCUCUGCCUCACGGCGGUGCCGCCCCCGAAAUACAUUGGCGGUCUCGCUGCAGCCUCCAUUGCGUAGUAGCUAACACCUCGCAACUGGAACGCGGCGCGGCCAUGCCGUAAAACCCCAACUUCUGAAUGUUGACCUCGGAUCAGGUAGGAAUACCCGCUGAACUUAA